AUGCAAGGUAUGGCGCUGGCUAUCGAGCAUUCCACGGCUCCGGUGAUUCUUCAAUCGGACUCUUCUGAAGCGUUGUCUUGCCUGGCUAUGGAGGCCCUCCAACGUUCAGCUUAUAGUCAAUUGGUGUUGGAAAUCAAGUACUUAUCUGGUAUUAGGGAGAAUUCUCAGAAACUUAGUCAUGUUCAAAAUAGAGUGACCGAUCGUUUGGCAAACUAUAGCCGUACGGAGCGAGCUACCGCUGUGUGGCUAGGCUCAAUUCCUCUUUGUAUUGAGGAUGUAUGGCCUCUCGACUGUAACUCUAUGAAUUUGCAAUAA
RNAcentral lists this ribosomal RNA (315 nucleotides) under Triticum aestivum (bread wheat). RNAcentral describes it as "partial small subunit ribosomal RNA". The record is from RNAcentral. Lineage: Eukaryota; Viridiplantae; Streptophyta; Magnoliopsida; Poales; Poaceae.